CCUACGGGAGGCAGCAGUGAGGAAUAUUGGUCAAUGGACGAGAGUCUGAACCAGCCAAGUAGCGUGAAGGAUGACUGCCCUAUGGGUUGUAAACUUCUUUUAUAUGGGAAUAAAACGUUCCACGUGUGGGAUUUUGUAUGUACCAUAUGAAUAAGGAUCGGCUAACUCCGUGCCAGCAGCCGCGGUAAUACGGAGGAUCCGAGCGUUAUCCGGAUUUAUUGGGUUUAAAGGGAGCGUAGGUGGAUUGUUAAGUCAGUUGUGAAAGUUUGCGGCUCAAUCGUAAAAUUGCAGUUGAAACUGGCAGUCUUGAGUACAGUAGAGGUGGGCGGAAUUCGUGGUGUAGCGGUGAAAUGCUUAGAUAUCACGAAGAACUCCGAUUGCGAAGGCAGUUCACUGGACUGCAACUGACACUGAGGCUCGAAAGUGUGGGUAUCAAACAGGAUUAGAUACCCUUGUAGUC
Molecule: ribosomal RNA, 460 nt
Filed under: uncultured bacterium
Lineage: Bacteria
Description: partial 16S ribosomal RNA
Rfam family: Bacterial small subunit ribosomal RNA
Source: RNAcentral